CAGACCUCUAAUCGGA
This 16-nucleotide ribosomal RNA is filed under the name Distichophyllum crispulum. RNAcentral's name for it is "partial 26S ribosomal RNA". Lineage: Eukaryota; Viridiplantae; Streptophyta; Bryopsida; Hookeriales; Daltoniaceae. The record is from RNAcentral. RNAcentral also lists the same sequence under 3 other names.